AGCGGCGAACGGGUGAGUAACACGUAGGUGAUCUGCCCAUCAGACGGGGACAACGAUUGGAAACGAUCGCUAAUACCGGAUAGGACGAAAGUUUAAAGGUGCUUCUGGCACCGCUGAUGGAUGAGCCUGCGGCGCAUUAGCUAGUUGGUAGGGUAAAGGCCUACCAAGGCGACGAUGCGUAGCCGACCUGAGAGGGUGAACGGCCACACUGGGACUGAGACACGGCCCAGACUCCUACGGGAGGCAGCAGUAGGGAAUCUUCGGCAAUGGGCGAAAGCCUGACCGAGCAACGCCGCGUGAAUGAUGAAGGCCUUCGGGUUGUAAAAUUCUGUUAUAAGGGAAGAACGACUUUAGUAGGAAAUGGCUAGAGUGUGACGGUACCUUAUGAGAAAGCCACGGCUAACUACGUGCCAGCAGCCGCGGUAAUACGUAGGUGGCGAGCGUUAUCCGGAAUUAUUGGGCGUAAAGAGCGCGCAGGUGGUUGAUUAAGUCUGAUGUGAAAGCCCACGGCUUAACCGUGGAGGGUCAUUGGAAACUGGUCGACUUGAGUGCAGAAGAGGGAAGUGGAAUUCCAUGUGUAGCGGUGAAAUGCGUAGAGAUAUGGAGGAACACCAGUGGCGAAGGCGGCUUCCUGGUCUGUAACUGACACUGAGGCGCGAAAGCGUGGGGAGCAAACAGGAUUAGAUACCCUGGUAGUCCACGCCGUAAACGAUGAG
Molecule: ribosomal RNA, 716 nt
Filed under: uncultured bacterium
Lineage: Bacteria
Description: bacterial SSU rRNA
Rfam family: Bacterial small subunit ribosomal RNA
Source: RNAcentral